AACGAACGCUGGCGGCAGGCUUAACACAUGCAAGUCGAACGAACUCUUCGGAGUUAGUGGCAGACGGGUGAGUAACGCGUGGGAACCUACCUUUAGGUACGGAACAACAGUUGGAAACGACUGCUAAUACCGUAUGUGCCCUAUGGGGGAAGGAUUUAUCGCCUAAGGAUGGGCCCGCGUUGGAUAAGCUAGUUGGUGGGGUAAAGGCCUACCAAGGCGACGAUCCAUAGCUGGUCUGAGAGGAUGAUCAGCCACACUGGGACUGAGACACGGCCCAGACUCCUACGGGAGGCAGCAGUGGGGAAUAUUGGACAAUGGGCGCAAGCCUGAUCCAGCCAUGCCGCGUGAGUGAUGAAGGCCCUAGGGUUGUAAAGCUCUUUCAGCGAGGAGGAUAAUGACGUUACUCGCAGAAGAAGCCCCGGCUAACUUCGUG
This 433-nucleotide ribosomal RNA is filed under the name uncultured bacterium. Its description in RNAcentral is "bacterial SSU rRNA". It matches the Rfam family "Bacterial small subunit ribosomal RNA", at positions 29 to 507 of the family's 1533-position model. The record is from RNAcentral.